AAUCUUCCACAAUGGACGGAAGUCUGAUGGAGCAAUGCCGCGUGAACGAAGAAGGUUUUCGGAUCGUAAAGUUCUGUUGUGAGGGAGGAACAAGUACGAGAGUAACUGCUCGUACCUCGACGGUACCGCAUGAGAAAGCGACGGCUAACUACGGGCCAGAAGCCGGGCUAAUACGUGGGUGGCAAGGGUUGUCCGGAAUUAUUGGGCGUAAAGCGCGGGGAAGCGGCCUUUUAAGCCUGUUGUGAAAGCCCCCGGCUCAACCGUGGAAGGUCAUGGAAAAAUGGAAGGCUUGGGUACAGAAGAGGAAAGCGAAAUUCCACGUGUAGCGGUGAAAUGCGUAGAGCUGUGGAGGAACACCAGUGGCGAAGGCGGCUUUCUGGUCUGUAACUGACGCUGAGGCGCGAAAGCGUGGGGAGCAAACA
This 422-nucleotide ribosomal RNA is filed under the name uncultured bacterium. RNAcentral's name for it is "partial 16S ribosomal RNA". It matches the Rfam family "Bacterial small subunit ribosomal RNA", at positions 360 to 774 of the family's 1533-position model. The record is from RNAcentral.